GCACGAGGAUAUCUAGGCUUCACCUCAAUUCAAAAAGUCACAUCCGCCUUACGCGUAUUAUCAUACGGAAACACGUAUGACAUCAACGACGAGUAUUUGAAGAUGGCGGAGAAAACAACCCGAGAUACCUUGGAACAUUUUUGCUAUGGAAUAUGCCAGUUAUAUGGAAAACGUUAUUUGAGAAACCCCACUUGGAACGACCUUCAAAAAAUAUAUGAGGUGCAUCUAGAAAAGCAUGGAAUACCCGGCAUGAUUGGUAGCUUGGAUUGUCGUCAAUGGCGUUGGUAUAAUUGUCCAACCGCAUGGCGAGGUCAACAUACGCGGGGUGAUCAAAAAGGGCCAACUUUGGUAUUACAAGGUGUUGCGUCAUACGACCUUUGGGUUUGGUCGGCCUUCUUUGGUGUAGCCGGGUGUUUUAACGAUAUUAAUACGUUAGAGGCUUCACCAUUAAUCGAGGGCUACAUUUCUGGAACUAUACCAAAGGCCGGUUUCCAUGCAAACGGGAACGAUUACGAGCAUGGCUACUACUUGGGCGAUGGUAUCUACC
RNAcentral lists this long non-coding RNA (547 nucleotides) under Helianthus annuus (common sunflower). Its description in RNAcentral is "sRNA HanXRQr2_Chr12g0548291". Lineage: Eukaryota; Viridiplantae; Streptophyta; Magnoliopsida; Asterales; Asteraceae. The record is from RNAcentral.